Sturnus vulgaris (Common starling) is the source of this 1144-nucleotide non-coding RNA. NCBI's taxonomy places the organism in Eukaryota, Metazoa, Chordata, Aves, Passeriformes, Sturnidae. The record is from RefSeq and is a predicted model, not a curated record.
AACAAAGCAACAGAAUAUUUUCCCCUCUUAAACCUAGUGACCCCCAACACCAUGGGGCAAACCUCCUGCUGAAAUCAAAAAAUCUUUCUCUAUUGGGCUGUUAAAGCUGCUCUCACCUGUCAAAUAUCAUGUCCUUUUAGUCUCUACCUUUCUCUUGAAAUAAUAAUACAACAUAUGGGUUAUCAGUACCAGAACCCAAGACUUUAAAGAAAUAGUUGCAUAUUUCCUAUGGCUCUCUGUAGAUGUAUGGUUGGAUUCUCAGCUGAUGGGAUGGCAGCUGAUUCAUGGCAGCUGAAAACGCAGCCUUUUGUGUUUUGUCUUGUCUUCUCAUCUCACUGAACUUUCCAAGGAUCUAAAUUAAUGCAAAGGAAAUACAACCUUGCCUCAGUGAAUUGUUUUGAAGGCUAAUGUGCUGAGAGAUUUAUGGGCAAAGAGGUUUUUUUUUCCCUUCUUUCUUUAAUAAAAAGUGCUUUCAUUCAGCAGCUUUGAUGGAAAGCCUGCAAGGACCCAUGAUAAGUAUGUAACCGGAACAGACUCAUAUUAACUAUCACUGUUACAAAUCUAUUAGUCCCACAUAUUAGAGCAUGUGCUGGACCUGAUGAGCUACACUAGUGGGAACAGGAGUAAUUUUGUGAAAUACAUGUAGCUUGCAAAUCUUUUAGACUGUUAUCCAAUUCCUUUUGUUUCAGUUUAAUUAGGAUAUAAAACAUGGCCUUAAGAGCUCGCACGAGUGGAGGGAACUCCAUGUGAAGGACAGGGAACCAGCUGCAGGGGAUUCCCAGCUGCUCUGCUGCUGAGCCUGCUGGCUUUUGUCUGCAAGGUGGUUUUGCUGUUCACCAAGGACUGAUGGAGGCAACGUUUCUUGAAGCACUGCAGGAGGACAGAGCUGCUCUUGCUCGUGGAUGAUGUGCACAAGGGGAAAGAACUAAGAGUGCACAGUCCCAUGCCAGAGGGUGUCAACCCAAAGCACUCAGUGAGGAGCAAGCAAGAGCAGUGACCACAUCCCGGCUCUGCUUUGCUCAUGAAGGUGUGGAACUGAGGCACAAAGAAGCAAGGAUAGGAUUUAACAUUUAGGCUCAGAGCAUAUCACCUGUGAAAUGUCAGCCCCUUGCCUAGAGGGCCCUUGGACACAUCAGCACUGCAG